This 247-nucleotide ribosomal RNA is filed under the name uncultured bacterium. RNAcentral's name for it is "partial 16S ribosomal RNA". It matches the Rfam family "Bacterial small subunit ribosomal RNA", at positions 15 to 273 of the family's 1533-position model. The record is from RNAcentral.
GAUCAUGGCUCAGGAUGAACGCUAGCGGCAGGCCUAAUACAUGCAAGUCAAGGGGUUCAGCAAUGGACACCGGCGGACGGGUGCGUAACGCGUACACAACGUACCCAAGGGCGGAGGAAAGCGGCGGGAAACUGCCGGUAAUACUCCAUGGCAUCACAUUUUGGCAUCAUUAUGUGAUUAAAGUACAAGCGCCCUUGGAUCGGUGUGCGUUCGAUUAGCUAGUUGGCGGGGUAACGGCCCACCAAGG